GAUGAAGAACGUAGCAAAAUGCGAUACUUGGUGUGAAUUGCAGAAUCCCGUGAACCAUCGAGUUUUUGAACGCAAGUUGCGCCCGAAGCCUUUUGGCCGAGGGCACGUCUGCCUGGGCGUCACGCAUCGCGUCGCCCCCCACAAUUCCCCGUAAAGGGAACGUGUGUUUUGGGGGCGGAUAUUGGUCUCCCGUGCUCAUGGCGUGGUUGGCCGAAAUAGGAGUCCUUUCGAUGGACGCACGAACUAGUGGUGGUCGUAAAAACCCUCGUCUUUUGUUUCGUGCUGUUGCUCGCAAGGUAAACUCUUUAAAAACCCCAAUGUGUCGUCUCUUGACGACGCUUCGACCGCGACCCCAGGUCAGGCGGGACUACCCGCUGAGUUUAAGCAUAUCAAUAAGCGGAGGA
This 404-nucleotide unclassified non-coding RNA is filed under the name soil metagenome. Its description in RNAcentral is "partial contains 5.8S ribosomal RNA, internal transcribed spacer 2, and large subunit ribosomal RNA". The stretch from base 1 to 122 matches the Rfam family "5.8S ribosomal RNA", at positions 35 to 154 of the family's 154-position model. The record is from RNAcentral.